GUUGCUUCGGUAACUGACCUAGCGGCGGACGGGUGAGUAAUACUUAGGAAUCUGCCUAUUAAUGGGGGACAACAUCUCGAAAGGGAUGCUAAUACCGCAUACGCCCUACGGGGGAAAGCAGGGGAUCACUUGUGACCUUGCGUUAAUAGAUGAGCCUAAGUCGGAUUAGCUAGUUGGUGGGGUAAAGGCCUACCAAGGCGACGAUCUGUAGCGGGUCUGAGAGGAUGAUCCGCCACACUGGGACUGAGACACGGCCCGGACUCCUACGGGAGGCAGCAGUGGGGAAUAUUGGACAAUGGGCGGAAGCCUGAUCCAGCCAUGCCGCGUGUGUGAAGAAGGCCUUUUGGUUGUAAAGCACUUUAAGCGAGGAGGAGGCUACUAGUACUAAUACUACUGGAUAGUGGACGUUACUCGCAGAAUAAGCACCGGCUAACUCUGUGCCAGCAGCCGCGGUAAUACAGAGGGUGCGAGCGUUAAUCGGAUUUACUGGGCGUAAAGCGUGCGUAGGCGGCUUUUUAAGUCGGAUGUGAAAUCCCCGAGCUUAACUUGGGAAUUGCAUUCGAUACUGGGAAGCUAGAGUAUGGGAGAGGAUGGUAGAAUUCCANGUGUANCGGUGAAAUGCGUAGAGAUCUGGAGGAAUACCGAUGGCGAAGGCAGCCAUCUGGCCUAAUACUGACGCUGAGGUACGAAAGCAUGGGGAGCAAACAGGAUUAGAUACCCUGGUAGUCCAUGCCGUAAACGAUGUCUACUAGCCGUUGGGGCCUUUGAGGCUUUAGUGGCGCAGCUAACGCGAUAAGUAGACCGCCUGGGGAGUACGGUCGCAAGACUAAAACUCAAAUGAAUUGACGGGGGCCCGCACAAGCGGUGGAGCAUGUGGUUUAAUUCGAUGCAACGCGAAGAACCUUACCUGGUCUUGACAUAGUAAGAACUUUCCAGAGAUGGAUUGGUGCCUUCGGGAACUUACAUACAGGUGCUGCAUGGCUGUCGUCAGCUCGUGUCGUGAGAUGUUGGGUUAAGUCCCGCAACGAGCGCAACCCUUUUCCUUAUUUGCCAGCGGGUUAAGCCGGGAACUUUAAGGAUACUGCCAGUGACAAACUGGAGGGAGGCGGGGACGACGUCAAGUCAUCAUGGCCCUUACGACCAGGGCUACACACGUGCUACAAUGGUCGGUACAAAGGGUUGCUACCUAGCGAUAGGAUGCUAAUCUCAAAAAGCCGAUCGUAGUCCGGAUUGGGGUCUGCAACUCGACUCCAUGA
Molecule: ribosomal RNA, 1256 nt
Filed under: uncultured Acinetobacter sp.
Lineage: Bacteria; Pseudomonadati; Pseudomonadota; Gammaproteobacteria; Moraxellales; Moraxellaceae
Description: bacterial SSU rRNA
Rfam family: Bacterial small subunit ribosomal RNA
Source: RNAcentral